RNAcentral lists this ribosomal RNA (497 nucleotides) under uncultured bacterium. Its description in RNAcentral is "partial 16S ribosomal RNA". It matches the Rfam family "Bacterial small subunit ribosomal RNA", at positions 28 to 507 of the family's 1533-position model. The record is from RNAcentral.
GACGAACGCUGGCGGCGUGCCUAAUACAUGCAAGUUGAGCGAUGAAGAUUGGUGCUUGCACCAAUUUGAAGAGCAGCGAACGGGUGAGUAACGCGUGGGGAAUCUGCCUUUGAGCGGGGGACAACAUUUGGAAACGAAUGCUAAUACCGCAUAAUAACUUUAAACAUAAGUUUUAAGUUUGAAAGAUGCAAUUGCAUCACUCAAAGAUGAUCCCGCGUUGUAUUAGCUAGUUGGUGAGGUAAAGGCUCACCAAGGCGAUGAUACAUAGCCGACCUGAGAGGGUGAUCGGACACAUUGGGACUGAGACACGGCCCAAACUCCUACGGGAGGCAGCAGUAGGGAAUCUUCGGCAAUGGACGAAAGUCUGACCGAGCAACGCCGUGUGAGUGAAGAAGGUUUUCGGAUCGUAAAACUCUGUUGGUAGAGAAGAACGUUGGUGAGAGUGGAAAGCUCAUCAAGUGACGGUAACUACCCAGAAAGGGACGGCUAACUACGUG